RNAcentral lists this ribosomal RNA (372 nucleotides) under Dothiorella iberica. RNAcentral describes it as "eukaryotic LSU rRNA". The stretch from base 20 to 173 matches the Rfam family "5.8S ribosomal RNA". The record is from RNAcentral. Lineage: Eukaryota; Fungi; Ascomycota; Dothideomycetes; Botryosphaeriales; Botryosphaeriaceae.
AAACAAGUUAAUAAACUAAAACUUUCAACAACGGAUCUCUUGGUUCUGGCAUCGAUGAAGAACGCAGCGAAAUGCGAUAAGUAAUGUGAAUUGCAGAAUUCAGUGAAUCAUCGAAUCUUUGAACGCACAUUGCGCCCCUUGGUAUUCCGGGGGGCAUGCCUGUUCGAGCGUCAUUUCAACCCUCAAGCUCUGCUUGGUAUUGGGCUCCGUCCUCAGGGACGCGCCUCAAAGACCUCGGCGGUGGCGUCUUGCCUCAAGCGUAGUAGAAAACACCUCGCUUUGGAGCGCACGGCGUCGCCCGCCGGACGAACCUUUGAAUUUUUCUCAAGGUUGACCUCGGAUCAGGUAGGGAUACCCGCUGAACUUAAGCAU